UUUGGGCCGAGGCCGGUAGUAGGAGGGCCUGGCGCUCGAUUCCUCUGCUUCUGCUUCUGCGUGGAGAGGGAGGACCAAUUCCUCGCGCCGCCGCCGCCGCCGUGACGGACACAUCUUCGACGGCCCCCGCGCUCCACCAGGGGGGUAGUUUCCGCCAGGUCUGCUUCACUGUCUCCUCUGCGGCGUCGUUUGUUCCAUCGGGCGAUUCGCGUCGUCCGCGGGCUCUGCUCUCUCCCGGCCUCCCCGGAAUCGCUCUCUGCCCCCGUCAUGCGGUCGCAGCUCGAGAGUGAUGGGGGGGGGGGGGGGGGGGGUCUCCCUGCUGCUAGCCUGCUAGUGAAGUGCCUGCUGUGAUACUACUGAUCAUGCCUACCGGUAGGUACCAGAAUUGGCAGAUUUCUCAAUACUUUUUUCCUUCACCAGUUUAAAUUGUGUGGUUAAUACUAGAUGACGAAGUAGUACCCUAUAUAAUAAUUCAUUGAUUCAUUCCACACGACAGAAAAGUAAACGAGACAGAUAGAAGAGCUCAAUACUGAAUUUUAAUUAUUUGUUACAAACUGGCAUAGUUAUCAGACAUUAUUACACACAUAAAUAUUCACUAGUAAGACUGAAGAGGAGAAAAUGACAUAUCACAAGCUCAAACAAGAAAAAUGUACUAGUAGCAUGUGCGACAUAAAAGAAAUAAUCCUUUGGCUUAACCAUGCAGUGCUGAAAAUUCUUCUUUGAUUGCAGCGACUUCCUUGUAAACGCUUUGCAUUGUCGGCCGAUCUUUAGGUGCCACUGCAGAGCACAAGAGGCCAAGCUUAACCAGCUUCGUGACACAGUUCAGCAU
This 829-nucleotide long non-coding RNA is filed under the name Oryza sativa (Asian cultivated rice). RNAcentral's name for it is "long non-coding RNA (OSAT_LNC001186)". Lineage: Eukaryota; Viridiplantae; Streptophyta; Magnoliopsida; Poales; Poaceae. The record is from RNAcentral.